GAUGAACGCUAGCGGCAGGCUUAACACAUGCAAGUCGUGGGGCAGCGCGAGGUAGCAAUACUUUGGCGGCGACCGGCAAACGGGUGCGGAACACGUACGCAACCUUCCUCAGAGCGGGGAAUAGCCUCUCGAAAGAGAGAUUAAUACCCCAUAGGUAUCUCGAAACUGCAUGGUUUUGAGAUUAAAGCUUCGGCACUUUGAGAUGGGCGUGCGGCUGAUUAGGUAGUUGGUAGGGUAACGGCCUACCAAGCCAACGAUCAGUAGCUGAUGUGAGAGCAUGAUCAGCCACACGGGCACUGAGACACGGGCCCGACUCCUACGGGAGCAGCAGUGAGGAAUAUUGGUCAAUGGAGGAAACUCUGAACCAGCCAUGCCGCGUGAAGGAUGAAGGUCCUCUGGAUUGUAAACUUCUUUAUAGAAGAAGAACCCCAUUAUCUUAAUGGGUUGACGGUACUCUAUGAAUAAGCACCGGCUAACUCCGUG
This 483-nucleotide ribosomal RNA is filed under the name uncultured bacterium. RNAcentral's name for it is "bacterial SSU rRNA". It matches the Rfam family "Bacterial small subunit ribosomal RNA", at positions 28 to 507 of the family's 1533-position model. The record is from RNAcentral.